GACGAACGCUGGCGGCGUGCUUAACACAUGCAAGUCGAACGGUGAAGCGCCUUCCUUUUUGGUGGGUGUGGAUGAGUGGCGAACGGGUGAGUAACACGUGAGUAACCUGCCCCCUUCUUCUGGAUAACCGCAUGAAAGUGUGGCUAAUACGGGAUAUUCUGGGUCUGUCGCAUGAUGGGUCUGGGAAAGAUAUUGUUUCGGUGGGGGAUGGGCUCGCGGCCUAUCAGCUUGGUGGUGGGGUGAUGGCCUACCAAGGCGGUGACGGGUAGCCGGCCUGAGAGGGUGGACGGUCACACUGGGACGGAGACACGGACCAGACUACUACGGGAGGCAGCAGUGGGGAAUAUUGAACAAUGGGCGCAAGCAUGAUGCAGCGACGCCGCGUGAGGGAUGGAGGCCUUCGGGUUGUGAACCUCUUUCGCCAGUGAAGCAGGCCUGCCUAGUUUGUGGGUGGGUUGACGGUAGCUGGAUAAGAAGCGCCGGCUAACUACGUG
RNAcentral lists this ribosomal RNA (494 nucleotides) under uncultured bacterium. RNAcentral describes it as "partial 16S ribosomal RNA". It matches the Rfam family "Bacterial small subunit ribosomal RNA", at positions 28 to 507 of the family's 1533-position model. The record is from RNAcentral.